AAAUCUGGCCCCUAGGGUCCGAGUUGUAAUUUGUAGAGGAUGCUUUUGGUGAGGUGCCGCCCGAGUUCCCUGGAACGGGACGCCACAGAGGGUGAGAGCCCCGUCUGGCUGGCCGCCGAGCCUCUGUAAAGCUCCUUCGACGAGUCGAGUAGUUUGGGAAUGCUGCUCAAAAUGGGAGGUAUAUGUCUUCUAAAGCUAAAUAUUGGCCAGAGACCGAUAGCGCACAAGUAGAGUGAUCGAAAGAUGAAAAGCACCUUGAAAAGAGGGUUAAAUAGUACGUGAAAUUGUUGAAAGGGAAGCGCUUGUGACCAGACUUGGGCGCGGCGGAUCAUCCGGGGUUCUCUCCGGUGCACUUCGCCGCGUCUGGGCCAGCAUCAGUUCGUCGCGGGGGAAAAAGGCUUCGGGAACGUGGCUCCUCCGGGAGUGUUAUAGCCCGUUGCAUAAUACCCUGCGGUGGACUGAGGACCGCGCAUCUGCAAGGAUGCUGGCG
RNAcentral lists this ribosomal RNA (490 nucleotides) under Trichoderma cf. harzianum CBS 435.95. Its description in RNAcentral is "eukaryotic LSU rRNA". It matches the Rfam family "Eukaryotic large subunit ribosomal RNA", at positions 118 to 631 of the family's 3401-position model. Lineage: Eukaryota; Fungi; Ascomycota; Sordariomycetes; Hypocreales; Hypocreaceae. The record is from RNAcentral.